Molecule: long non-coding RNA, 589 nt
Organism: Cyprinodon tularosa
Lineage: Eukaryota; Metazoa; Chordata; Actinopteri; Cyprinodontiformes; Cyprinodontidae
Exons: 3
Source: RefSeq, a predicted model, not a curated record
CUGGGUUAGAGUGACAAUUGAUUACAUGAUGCAUUCAGCCAAUCAAUGCAUCUGAAGUGGUAUUCAAGCCUGCUCCAGCUUUCCCAGUCAGGUGUGAAGGGGAGAGCUGGAGACAAAGGAGCUACAGAUCUUCAUAUCCAGUGAGUUUGGAGCCAAGAAGUUGUCGUUUACUGAGCCUAAAAUGGAAUUGGCCAGGUGAUCCCUUUUUUGGGUUAAAGGAUGGCGAGCUACUGAACACUGGUUGGGCCCAGGAAAACCUGAACUCCAUACUGGUCUGGUAGGAGGCUGAUGGUCUGUAGCGUUUCCCUUUCCAUCUCAUCAUAUUGACACACUUUUCAUAAUUCAUCUCUUCUCCGUUGGACGCAAUUUGCACUUGGACAUUCCAUCUCAAAUAACUGGAUAAUCAAACUAUGGACUUAAAUGUGUGUCAGUCAGAUGUUGUGCUGAGCCGUUGGGAAAUGUAAGACUUUUGUGUGCAUUCAUUUGACAUACUGCAGUACUGUAUAUAUUGUUUUUGUAUAUCUUUUGGGUUCUUUGUAUGGUUUAUGUUUUGUAGUGUUUUACUUUUUUUUUCCAUCUACAAAAUUAA